This 724-nucleotide long non-coding RNA is filed under the name Mustela putorius furo (domestic ferret). RNAcentral describes it as "lncRNA (ENSMPUG00000030788.1)". Lineage: Eukaryota; Metazoa; Chordata; Mammalia; Carnivora; Mustelidae. The record is from RNAcentral.
UGGAGGGGACACAUUCUCUGUGGGGGACUGGCAACUGCUUCACGGCAAUGCAACCAUGAUGGGAUUGUGAAAAAAACCAUUAUUAUUAUUUCCUUAUUGUAAAUGCAAUGCAUGUCCAUUGUAAACAUUUCUUAGAAAAGGAGUAAUAAUCACCUGUGUGCUUUUUUCUUCCCCCCCCCAUCAGUGAGAAGCUCAACAAUGUGAGAUACAGUAUCUCCUGCACCCAUUUCCAACUGAACUCCCCAUUUUACAGAUGGGGAGCUGGAACAUUAAUGAGGUUAAGCGGCAUGCCCAGCACUGAAAUACGGAAUAAAUGAGCGAUGAAUUGAGUCUACAGGAAGGCUGCUGUUCAUUCACUGAUUGCCAAGGAGCAGAGGCAUCGGGAGGGACGGAUGGCAGGAGGAGCUGAAGAUGGUGUUAGAGAAGGCAGGCGAAGAACACCAAGGCUGGACCUGUUCUGAGACACAAGGUCAAGAUACUCAAGUUGCUGUGAUGGAAGCUGCCCCAUAGAGAGGUCCACAUGGCAGUGAGGACCUGUGGGCUGCUAACAGCCACAUGACUGAGCCUGGGAGCGGACUAACCCCCAGUUGAACCUUGAGAUGAAGAGUGCAAACUCAUGAGAGACCUCGAGUCAGAUGAACCAACUAGAUCACACUGGAUUCCUGACCUACAGAAGACUAGGAGGUAAUACAUAUUUUAUUGUUUUAAGCCACCCAGGUGUGGG